Helianthus annuus (common sunflower) is the source of this 2951-nucleotide RNA transcript. It is a transcript of the gene named putative pentatricopeptide repeat-containing protein At5g52630, with no coding region annotated. Lineage: Eukaryota; Viridiplantae; Streptophyta; Magnoliopsida; Asterales; Asteraceae. The transcript has 3 exons. The record is from RefSeq and is a predicted model, not a curated record.
AGAAAAGAUAAAAAUAUAAGAAGAGCUCCCCUCCCCUCCCUGUUUUCUGAAAUCCAUUUUUAUCCAUCCAUCCAGACACACACACAGAUGACGAUAACGUGAAACUCGCGAUGGCAUCUCCUCUACCUUCAGCCGUACUCACCAAACUCGAAUCAGACUUCAAGAGACGCACCGCUAAUUUCCCUUCCCUUGAAAAGGUAAACCCUAUUCAUAACACUUCCGACUUCGACCCUUCUUCAACUCACCUCUCACUUCUACAAAAAUGCGUCCAAACCAAUUCCUUUCAACAAGCCCCACUUAUUCAUGCUCAUAUUCUCAAAUCUGGGACGCAACAAGAUUUGUUUGUCAUGACGUCUCUGGUGAACGUUUAUGGCAAAUGCGGUGCCAUGGAAGCUGCACGCAAGGUGUUCGAUCAUUUGUCUAAAAGAAAUGUUGUCACUUGGACAUCUUUAAUGUCAGGCUAUGUUCAUAACUCACAGCCUGAAGAAGCCAUUCAAGUGUUUAUACAAAUGUUGGAACAUGGCUCCUAUCCCACCAAUUACACCAUUGGAGUUGUUUUAACCGCUUGUUCUGCUCUCUGCCAUGUUAACAUGGGCAAGCAGGUUCAUGGGUAUGUCUUGAAAUACGGACUCGAGGAUGACACAAGCAUUGGGAAUUCACUUUGUAACUUGUACUCCAAAUCUGGUGGCUACUUGGAAUCUGCUAUGAAAGCAUUUUGGAGGAUAGGGGAAAGGAAUGUCAUCUCAUGGACUACUAUUGUCUCUGCCUGUGGCGACAAUGGGGAUUCUGCAGCUGGAUUGGGGUUGUUUAGUGCCAUGCUUGAGGAGGGGAUUGAGCCAAAUGAGUUCAUUUUGACCAGUGUCCUGAGUUUAUGUUGCACGUUGCAGGCUAUAGACUUUGGUUUGCAGGUCCAUUCGCUAAGUAUAAAAAUUGGGUAUGCGUCUAAUCUGCCUGUUACGAAUUCCAUCAUGUAUUUGUACUUAAAAAUCGGAUUGUUUAGUGAAGCAAGGAAGUUGUUUGAUGGUUUGGAGAAAGUAAGCUUAGUAACAUGGAAUGCAAUGAUUGCAGGCCAUGCCCAGAUGAUGGAUGUUGCAGAAAAUAACCUAGUGGCAUUCCGAAAUGGAGUUGAAGCACUUGGCAUGCUCUUGAGAUUACAAAGGUCGGGUUUGAAACCUGAUCUUUUCACAUUGUCUAGCAUCUUAACAGUUUGUAGCAAUCUUGUGGCUCUAGAACAAGGCGAACAAGUUCAUGCUCAGGCCAUCAAAACUGGCUUUUUAUCAGAUGUUGUUGUUGGGACAGCUUUAGUAAAUAUGUAUAAUAAAUGCGGUAGUAUCAAGAAGGCAAGCAAAGCAUUUGUUGAAAUGCCUUCAAGAACUUUGAUUUCUUGGACUUCAAUGAUUACGGCUUUUGCUCAGCAUGGUCUUUCUCAACAUGCUUUGGAUCUUUUUAAUGACAUGCGAUUAGCAGGAGAUAGGCCAAACAAGGUAACGUUUGUUGGUGUUCUUUCAGCCUGUAGCCAUGCUGGAAUGGUGGAUGAGGGUUUAAGUUACUUUGAAAUGAUGAAAAAUGAGUACAAAAUCAUUCCUGUUAUGGAUCAUUACGGUUGCAUGAUUGAUAUGUAUGUGAGAUUAGGCAGGUUAGAAGAAGCGUUUGAUUUUGUGAAGAAGAUGGAAGUUGAACCAAAUGAGUUUAUUUGGUCUUUACUGGUUGCAGGCUGCAGAAGUCACGGGAAUCUAGAGUUGGGUUUUUACGCUGCUGAACAGUUACUGUGUCUAAACCCUAAAGAUCCUGAGACGUACACUAUGCUGUUGAACAUGUACGUUUCAGCGGGAAGAUGGAAGGAUGCUUCAAGGGUGAGGAAAGCUAUGAAAGAUGAAAAGGUUAUGAAGUUGAAAGAUUGGAGCUGGAUUAGCAUUAAAUCUAAGGUUUAUUCUUUCAAACCCGACUGCCCUCAGUUUGAAGAAGUCGAUGUUUUAUUAGGGGAUUUGCUUGAAAAAUCAAGAGAUCUUGGAUAUGAGUGGAAAGAGAUACCCGAAAACGAAGAAAUUGAGGGAAGGGUUCAUCACAGUGAAAAGUUUGCUGUGGUGUUUGGUUUGUUAAACACAGAAAAACCGGCAGUGAUUCGUGUUGUAAAGAGUAUGAGCAUGUGCAGAGAGUGUCAUGAUUUUAUUAAAAUUGUUUCGGCGUUAACGAAGAGGGAAAUCAUGGUUAGAGACAGUAAACGACUACAUAAAUUUAGUGAUGGCAAGUGUUCAUGUGGGGAUUUUGGUAGUCUUUUGUGAUCCUGUUCAAAUAUACAAUGCAGGGGUCUGUGAGCUUGUAAUCGUACCCAAUUGCUUCUUGGUAUGCUGUACAAUUCAGGUGGAUUAACCAUCCUUUGCAUUCGAGGAUGUAAUUAGAUAACCUCCUGUUGUGAUGUAGCGGUCUCCAUACUAACAAUAUUAAUUGCGUGCUCAUGACUAGCUGCAGUCUGCAUCCUCUGAGAUUCAUGCAUCUGUUUCUGGAUUUCCACUAUCGGUGACCCAACUGGAUCAGAGACACAUGAUGAUUGCUAAUACCAUCUGAACCACACUCUGAUCCCUGACGAGCACAUUCUGAAACAUUUGUCCGUGGCAUGACAACCCUGUCGGUACAGGAGCAUUCUUUUAUGCUACUCCUUUUACUUGCUUGGAAUUGUCCUUCGCGUUGCUUAUCUUUAAUACUUUGCUUUGAACCCCCCACCUCUUGGGUAGAGGGGAGACGUCUAGCACCACACCAUGUCUCUUGGGAUGGGGACAUUACUUUUGCAAUUACUUAACAAAGACAAAUUUCUCGAUGAAGGUGAUGAUACAGAAAAUGCCUAUAAAGAGUUUAGACAAAUCGACAAUGUGGGGAAUUUAUUUUCCUCUUAAUCAGGCAAGUAGUGUGUUAAAUGACAAUGAAGGAAGGUGAUAUGUACCCACGUUCACCCU